CCUACGUGUGGCAGCAGUGAGGAAUAUUGGUCAAUGGGCGCGAGCCUGAACCAGCCAAGUAGCGUGAAGGAUGACUGCCCUACGGGUUGUAAACUUCUUUUAUAAAGGAAUAAAGUGAGGCACGUGUGCCUUUUUGUAUGUACUUUAUGAAUAAGGAUCGGCUAAAUCCGUGCCCGCAUCCGCGGUAAUCAGGAGGAUCCGAGGGUUACCCGGAUUUAUUGGGUUUAAGGGAAGCGUAGAUGGGUUUUUAAGUCAGUUGUGAAAGUUUGCGGCUCAACCGUAAAAUUGCAAUUGAUACUGGCAGUCUGGAGUACAGUUGAGGUAGGCGGAAUGCGUGGGUGUAGCGGUGAAAUGCUUAGAUAUCACGAAGAACUCCGAUUGCGAAGGCAGCUUACUAAACUGUGACUGACAUUGAUGCUCGAAAGUGUGGGUAUCAAACAGGAUUAGAUACCCGUGUAGUC
RNAcentral lists this ribosomal RNA (461 nucleotides) under uncultured bacterium. Its description in RNAcentral is "partial 16S ribosomal RNA". It matches the Rfam family "Bacterial small subunit ribosomal RNA", at positions 338 to 795 of the family's 1533-position model. The record is from RNAcentral.